Molecule: ribosomal RNA, 272 nt
Filed under: Escherichia coli
Lineage: Bacteria; Pseudomonadati; Pseudomonadota; Gammaproteobacteria; Enterobacterales; Enterobacteriaceae
Also listed under: 3 other names
Description: partial 16S ribosomal RNA
Rfam family: Bacterial small subunit ribosomal RNA
Source: RNAcentral
AAAUUGAAGAGUUUGAUCAUGGCUCAGAUUGAACGCUGGCGGCAGGCCUAACACAUGCAAGUCGAACGGUAACAGAAAGCAGCUUGCUGCUUUGCUGACGAGUGGCGGACGGGUGAGUAAUGUCUGGGAAACUGCCUGAUGGAGGGGGAUAACUACUGGAAACGGUAGCUAAUACCGCAUAACGUCGCAAGACCAAAGAGGGGGACCUUCGGGCCUCUUGCCAUCGGAUGUGCCCAGAUGGGAUUAGCUUGUUGGUGGGGUAACGGCUCACC